CCUACGGGCGGCUGCAGUGGGGAAUAUUGCACAAUGGGGGGAACCCUGAUGCAGCAACGCCGCGUGGGUGAAGAAGUACUUCGGUAUGUAAAGCCCUGUCAGCAGGGAAGAAAAUGACGGUACCUGACCAAGAAGCCCCGGCUAACUACGUGCCAGCAGCCGCGGUAAUACGUAGGGGGCAAGCGUUAUCCGGAUUUACUGGGUGUAAAGGGAGCGUAGACGGCAAGGCAAGUCUGGAGUGAAAGCCCGGGGCUCAACCACGGGACUGCUUUGGAAACUGUGUGGCUGGAGUGCAGGAGGGGUAAGCGGAAUUCCUAGUGUAGCGGUGAAAUGCGUAGAUAUUAGGAGGAACACCGGUGGCGAAGGCGGCUUACUGGACUGUAACUGACGUUGAGGCUCGAAGGCGUGGGGAGCAAACAGGAUUAGAUACCCCUGUAGUC
This 440-nucleotide ribosomal RNA is filed under the name uncultured bacterium. RNAcentral describes it as "partial 16S ribosomal RNA". It matches the Rfam family "Bacterial small subunit ribosomal RNA", at positions 338 to 795 of the family's 1533-position model. The record is from RNAcentral.